GAUGAACGCUGGCGGCAUGCCUAACACAUGCAAGUCGAUCGGUAAGGCUCUUCUUAGUACACGAGAGGCUGACGGCUGAGUAACUCGUAGGAACACACCCUGCAGUUAGGGAUAAGACACCGAAAGGUGAUCUAAUACCGCACACGGUCUUCGCAUUAAAGCAUUUAUGCGCUGUAGGAGCGGCCUGCGUCAUUUUAUAUAGUUGGUGAGGUAAUGGCUCACCGAGUCGAUGAUGUGUAGCUGGUCUGAGAGGAUGACCAGCCAGACUUGAACUGAGACACGGUCCAGACUCGUACGGGGGGCAGCAGUGAGGAAUAUUUCACGAGGAGCGCAAGCUUGAUGGAGCCAUGCCGCGUGCAGGAUGAAGGGCCUCGUGUUGUAAACUGCUUUUAUAAGAGAAGAUUAUGACGGUAACUUAUGAAUAAGGGACGGCUAACUACGUG
RNAcentral lists this ribosomal RNA (443 nucleotides) under uncultured bacterium. RNAcentral describes it as "partial 16S ribosomal RNA". It matches the Rfam family "Bacterial small subunit ribosomal RNA", at positions 28 to 507 of the family's 1533-position model. The record is from RNAcentral.